RNAcentral lists this ribosomal RNA (520 nucleotides) under Eiconaxius parvus. RNAcentral describes it as "partial large subunit ribosomal RNA". It matches the Rfam family "Archaeal large subunit ribosomal RNA", at positions 1891 to 2662 of the family's 2987-position model. Lineage: Eukaryota; Metazoa; Arthropoda; Malacostraca; Decapoda; Axiidae. The record is from RNAcentral.
CCUGUUUAUCAAAAACAUGUCUGUUUGAAAAUAAGAUCAGUCUGGCCUGCCCACUGAAGUAUUGAAGGGCCGCGGUAAUUUGACCGUGAGAAGGUAGCAUAAUCAUUAGUCUUUUAAUUGAAGACCUGUAUGAAGGGCUGCACAAAAAACUAACUGUCUUAGUAAUUUAUAUUGAAGUUAACUUUUAAGUGAAGAGGCUUAAAUAACUAUUAAAGACGAUAAGACCCUAUAAAACUUUACAUAUGCUUAAUUGAAGUUUAAAUUAUUUGUAAAAGAUUUUUUUUAAAAUUAUGUUUCAUUGGGGAGAUGAAAGUAUAAAUUUAACUGCUUAGCCUUUAUUACAAAAAUCUUUGUAUUUUAAUUGAUCCUUAAGAAAGAUAAAAGACAAGUUACUUUAGGGAUAACAGCGUUAUUUUUUUUGAGAGUUCCUAUCGACCAAAAAGUUUGCGACCUCGAUGUUGAAAUCUAAUUUCUUUGUGAUGCAGCAGUCAUAGAAAGUAAGUCUCUUCGACUUUUAAAA